GAGACAAGCUUCUUAGAGCAUUUCGAGCAAUGAAUGCUGCAGAUGUUGCUGAUCAAGUUCUCCGUCAAGUUGAUAAAUUGAUCAGGAAUAAUGAGCGUGCUGCACGUGAAAAUUUUUCUGGCAAGAAUAACCAGUCGAUUAAUCAUCAAAACUCUUGGGAUAUGUCAAAGAAACGAAUAAUGCCCCAGG
This is a non-coding RNA of Camelina sativa (false flax), 189 nucleotides long. The record is from RefSeq and is a predicted model, not a curated record. Lineage: Eukaryota; Viridiplantae; Streptophyta; Magnoliopsida; Brassicales; Brassicaceae.